Molecule: long non-coding RNA, 1836 nt
Filed under: Salvia miltiorrhiza (redroot sage)
Lineage: Eukaryota; Viridiplantae; Streptophyta; Magnoliopsida; Lamiales; Lamiaceae
Description: long non-coding RNA (SMIL_LNC011755)
Source: RNAcentral
CCAUUUUAGCUCUCAAUUCUGUUGCUUUGCAAGUCAUUACCAACUUUUCAAGGGCUAUAUUUUUUAAGCGACUUACUACUUGUUUAUAAGUGUGAUCAUAUAGGGGUUGGAUGCACUUGGAUUAGCGACCUUGGACUCACUUACAGCAAACCUACCCUUCAGGCCAAGUUCGACCUCCAUGACUGAUGAAGAUAUCAACAAUCUGCGAACACUGAGACGCCUUAUGCUAUUAAUUUCUGAGCUUCAACGAACUGAAACUUCUGCAGUGGUUUGUUACAAACACUCCCUUUGCUUCCCCAUUCCAAAGGAUACUAGUUGUUGCUUAACUAUGAUGAUGAAAAAUAAGUAAGUAGUAAUAAAUUUUAUGAUUCGUUGAUUUCUCGUGGCAGGGAGACAAUGGAGUUGGCUCGUAUGACUCCUCAGAUGGAGCCGCGCUGCUCCCUUAUGGAUUGAGAUCUUCUCAGGAAAUGCUGCCACUUCUUCUCUCUGCAAUUUCCGAGGUAGGAAUCAUGGAUCAAACAUAUUCUCAACUGGCUUUUAGCUAGGGACCUAUGGCAUCUUGCCCUUUCAUACUUUAUUCAUACACAACGGAUGAUGCUUUUUAACAGUAUUCAUCUAUCGUAGAUACAUUAGUGUUAUCAAGUUGAUGAGCCACUUUUGUACAACCCCUUUAACUUUUCAGUCCAAAGGUUACAAACUUGUAAGUGCCUACAUAUCUGGUGGCUAACUAGUCUCUCCAUUGCUGUGGGACGUUCAAACGGGCAUUCCUACUAAAUUGAUUUGUCAAAGCUGUGAGGAUUUUUUCGUGUUUUCACAUCAGCCUUACGAUUUUGUUUCGGAUUUUGCUCCGACCAUCGGAUGAUCAGAUGGAGAGCAGCACCCAACUCAACUGCAAAACUUACAAUAGCAAAGCUGCAGAGGUAGAAAAUAUGGCUCACUAUUUAUUCCGUGGAAUUGGCCGUCUUGUUAUUCACUCAAAUCUCUUUGUUUCAAUCUGUAUAAGUGAUUUUUGGUGGAAGAUUAUAUAUUCGGUGUUCAAACUAGUUACUGUAGAAAGAUUAUACCAUGCUAAUCUUCAAUCUUUAACUAGGAAAAGUGGAAAAGACGAAGCAUUAUUGAUUCAUUUCGACAUUACAAACUUCUGAAGUAACUCACUCAGUAGUAUCUGUGGUUUGAAUAAGUGUGUUCAGUUAGCAUGCAAUAAUAGGAAUUUGACUUAUGAGCUAAACUAGUACAGUACAUAUAUUGAUAUUUUUAUUAUUUUUUAUUUAAAGAACUAUGGAGAAANGAUGUCCGCGUUAACAAAGAAGGCUAGAGACACUUUAGAAGACCAGUAACCUGAUUAAUAGUCAAAGAAAUCGAAGUCCACAGAAUAGGAAAGGUUUUUAAUAUUUGCCAAUGCCAACCCUUCCUUAUGAGUUUAAAUCUGCAUGUGCAUAUGCCGACUUUUUCACUGAAGCUGUUUGUGUGGGUGAGGUAAAAUUAAUCAUUUGAGCAAACUAUGAAAAGUUCUUAUGUUAAGAUGCAAUAUCUGCUUACCAUUUUAGCUCUCAAUUCUGUUGCUUUGCAAGUCAUUACCAACUUUUCAAGGGCUAUAUUUUUUAAGCGACUUACUACUUGUUUAUAAGUGUGAUCAUAUAGGGGUUGGAUGCACUUGGAUUAGCGACCUUGGACUCACUUACAGCAAACCUACCCUUCAGGCCAAGUUCGACCUCCAUGACUGAUGAAGAUAUCAACAAUCUGCGAACACUGAGACGCCUUAUGCUAUUAAUUUCUGAGCUUCAACGAACUGAAACUUCUGCAGUGGUUUGUUACAAACACUCCCUUUGCUUCCCC